UACGGAGGAUGCGAGCGUUAUCCGGAUUUAUUGGGUUUAAAGGGUGCGUAGGCGGGCUUUUAAGUCAGCGGUAAAAAUUCGGGGCUCAACCCCGUCCGGCCGUUGAAACUGGGGGUCUUGAGUGGGCGAGAAGAAGGCGGAAUGCGUGGUGUAGCGGUGAAAUGCAUAGAUAUCACGCAGAACCCCGAUUGCGAAGGCAGCCCUCCGGCGCCCUACUGACGCUGAGGCACGAAAGUGCGGGGAUCGAACAGG
RNAcentral lists this ribosomal RNA (252 nucleotides) under uncultured bacterium. RNAcentral describes it as "partial 16S ribosomal RNA". It matches the Rfam family "Bacterial small subunit ribosomal RNA", at positions 524 to 776 of the family's 1533-position model. The record is from RNAcentral.